GCCUCCUCAGGGGUGCAUGACCGGUGUUCUGCUUUGUCCGUCGGUGUGGGGCUUUUUGUUUCGUUUUAAACAUUUCUAUUAUUUUAAUUGUGACAAACUGUGCAGAACAUAAAAUUUACCAUCUUGAUCUUUUUUAAGUGGAUAGUUGAUUGGCAUUCAAUUCAUUGAUAAUGUUGUGCAACCAUCGCCACCGUCCAUCCACGGACCUCUUUUAAUCUUCCCACACUGAAGUUCUGCUCGCAUUCAUCAACUCCCCACUCCCCUCCUCCAGUCCUGAUGACCACCAUUCUACUUUCUGUCUCCGUGAACUUGACUGCUCUGGUUACCUGCUGUCCGUAGAAUUGUACAGCAUUUGUCCUUUUGUGCCUGGCUUAUUUUACUUGGCAUCCUAUACUAACGGCUCCUCCAUGCCGUAGCGUGUGUCGGAAUCUCCUUCCUUUUUAAGGCUGAAUAAUAUCCCAUUGUUUGUACGUUAGUCCAUUUGUGCUGCUGUAAGAAAAUACCUGAGACUGGGUAAUUCAUAGAGAACAGAAACUUACUUCUCACAGUUCCGGAGGCUGGGAGCGCCAGAUCAGGGUGCCAGCAGGUUUGGCAUCUGUCCGAGGCUGCUCUCUGCUUCUGAGAUGCUGCCUUGCUGCUGCGUCCUGUGGAGGAGAGGAACAGUGUGUCCUCCCGUGGGGAGAGGGAUGGGAAGGGAAGGGCAGACUCCCUGCAUCAAACCCAUUCCCAAGGGAUGCCUAAUGCCCUUCUGACUCAGUCGUCUCCUGAUGACCAUACCUCUCAAUAGUGUUGCAUUGGGGAUGACAUUUCAACAUGAAUUUUGGAGGGGACAAAAGCAUUCAAGCUGUAGCAGUAUGGCUAUACCAUAUUCUGUUUGUACAUUCAUCCACCAGUAGACCCAGGGGUUGCUUCCACGUUGGGGCUUUCAGUUUUAAAAAUGGGAUCGUCUUGGGGAAACUAGGACAAGUUGGUUUUAUCCUGGUACCAAACUGGAGCCUCUGUUUGGAGUUUGCCAAGUUAUUCCUUUCAAAAAUGUUCCAGGGGUAGGGGCUGACCAGAAGCUUAGAGAAUGUGGGCCUCAAUUUUGAUGCAAUAUCCCGAAGGGGUCUGCCCCAUCCAGGUGUCGCGUACAGGCCUGUUCCCUGUCUCUUCUCCUUUAUUGCUCAGGAUCACAGAUGCCUACUCUGGGCCAGGCCCUGGCAGGCAUUGUGCGUUAUCCUGUCGGGUCCUCUAACCUACUUGCAGAUGGGGAACUGGGCCCAGAGAUGCUGAGUGCUUGGUCCAAGGGUGCACAGCUUCAUAGUGGCGAAGCUAGGACUCACUCACUAUGCCUCGGUUCUGUGAAUUUCUCAGGGAGUCCUCAAGAAUGUCCAUUUGUGGUGUGUAAAAAGAACACAUUGACUCCCAGAUGUGUUUCUGCUCAUCUUGACACCAACAGGCAUCUCUGGGCACUGAAGGAGCUUGGGAAAUACAAGGCCUCAGAAAAGUCUACAGCAAAGAUGAGAAGAAACCUGUGAAAUCAAAAUGGAUAAAUGUUUAAACAUCUACAGGGUGCAGCUUUAUGUUAGCCUCAUUAAUUGUUAAAUUAAACAUUCAUAAAAACUUCAUUCGAAAACAAUUUGCUGACUGGAUUUUCUCAUGUUGCACAAAUUCCUGAUAUGGAUCGAUGAAUCACAGCCAAUUUUUAAAGUGAAUGUUUUUCAGCACCAAAUAACUUCAAAAGAAAGUUGAGAAACAUCCUUGAAAAUAAGUUUUCUAGCCCAAAGAGUAUGUCAAAUAUGAAAUAUGGGUGCAUUUUAAUAUGUUUGCUCUGAUAUGGGACCCUAAGUCCUGGAGGUCUUGAAAUAUCUGGAUUUUUUUUUUUUGAGGUGGUCUUGCUCUCUCGCUAGGCUGGAGAGCAGUGGUACUCCUCAUCUUCACAAAAGAUUCAAGGUGGCC
Long non-coding RNA from Sapajus apella (tufted capuchin), 1938 nucleotides. RefSeq lists it as uncharacterized. NCBI's taxonomy places the organism in Eukaryota, Metazoa, Chordata, Mammalia, Primates, Cebidae. The record is from RefSeq and is a predicted model, not a curated record. The transcript has 2 exons.